Molecule: ribosomal RNA, 252 nt
Filed under: uncultured bacterium
Lineage: Bacteria
Description: partial 16S ribosomal RNA
Rfam family: Bacterial small subunit ribosomal RNA
Source: RNAcentral
UACGUAAGGUCCGAGCGUUGUCCGGAAUCAUUGGGCGUAAAGGGUACGUAGGCGGUUAGAAAAGUUAGAAGUGAAAGGCUAUAGCUCAACUAUAGUAAGCUUUUAAAACUGCUCAUCUUGAGGUAUGGAAGGGAAAGUGGAAUUCCUAGUGUAGCGGUGAGAUGCGCAGAUAUUAGGAGGAAUACCAGUGGCGAAGGCGACUUUCUGGCAAUCAUCAGACGCUGAGGUACGAAAGCGUGGGUAGCAAACAGG